GGUUGCGAUCAUACCAUCACUAUUGCACCGGAUCCCAUCAGAACUCCGCAGUUAAGCGUGCUUGGGCGAGAGUAGUACUAGGAUGGGUGACCCCCUGGGAAGUCCUCGUGUUGCAACCC
This 119-nucleotide ribosomal RNA is filed under the name Helianthus annuus (common sunflower). Lineage: Eukaryota; Viridiplantae; Streptophyta; Magnoliopsida; Asterales; Asteraceae. The record is from RNAcentral.